This is a non-coding RNA of Salvelinus sp. IW2-2015, 1120 nucleotides long. NCBI's taxonomy places the organism in Eukaryota, Metazoa, Chordata, Actinopteri, Salmoniformes, Salmonidae. The record is from RefSeq and is a predicted model, not a curated record.
CUUGUGGUCUCUCUCUGUCUCUCUGUCUCUCUCUCUGUCUCUCUCUGUGUCUGUGUUGAUCAGAGCUCAAGUCGGGGUGGUUUUAGCGGCUGGUUCAAACACAAACCCAAAGAAGGAGCAAAGUGAGGCGUCUCAGGAUGCAGACUCAGCUGACCCAGUUCCACUAUGGAGACGCCUCCCACUUCCCUAUUUUCUUUCCCUUCCACUACCAACAUCCCUGCAACCAAUUUUCCUACCCAGCCUGCAUCUACUGGUAUCAACGCCUUUUCUCGGAAAGCGGGUGAAUAACAGGCCGGAAUGCAUUGGACAACACAUAGACUAAAGUUUUUAUGUUUUUCUGCAACCACCCACCAUACAUCAUACACCUGUACACAUACACAAAUCAUUAAUGAUAAUAAAAUAUUUGUGGUGACAAUUGAUAUUGAUAUUUAAUGGAUUACUGCAUGUUGGAACUGCAGAAAUGCAUUAAUAAUGUGCAGAACAGUGUCCAAUACUGUCCAGAGUUGUGGACAGGAGGCUGCAAAGCUCACUUAUCACUGUAUCUAAUUCUCCCGGAAGCGAAUUUGGGCUGGUUUUCUAUUUCUCUUUCACCUACACUUUGAUGAAGGCUCUAUGCUGAAACAUGUUGGGGACUUUACAUUUUUUGAACUGCUCUAUGCCCUGUAGAUAAAGGCUUUUAAAAUGUAAAACCCAUCUGGAGUGCCUGGAACUUAGACUCGUCAAACAAUUUUACACUCUUUUGUUGGAUUUUUCCUGUUUUUCAGAUUUUUAAUUCCCCACUCCAGAGCGAUGGUGGAUGUUUUUGUGGGAUACUUGUAGUGCUCCCGAUAUAUUGUUUCCUGUCGGGCUGCUCUUGAACCAGACAUAUUCAUGCUGAAUGACAACUGUAUGCUUGUCUUGGCUAACAUGAAGUGAGGAAUUUUGACUGGUGCUUCUUUUGUAAUGAAAUACCCAACAUGCUCUGCCAUAUAGUGAUAGUGCUUCCAUUGAUAGUGUUAGUGCUUCGAGUGUUAGUGCCAUUGAGUGAUUGUCUGAACUUUGGUCUGCUGUAGAAUCCUUUCAGUAGUUUUUAAACAACAGAAUGAGUACAACAGAGAAAUACAAAUGGUUUAUAACAAUG